This 465-nucleotide ribosomal RNA is filed under the name uncultured bacterium. RNAcentral's name for it is "partial 16S ribosomal RNA". It matches the Rfam family "Bacterial small subunit ribosomal RNA", at positions 28 to 507 of the family's 1533-position model. The record is from RNAcentral.
GACGAACGCUGGCGGCGUGCUUAACACAUGCAAGUCGAACGGAAAGGCCCCUUUGGGGGUCCUCGAUUGGCGAACGGGUGAGUAACACGUGAGUAACCUGCCCUUGACUUCGGGAUAACUUCAGGAAACUGGGGCUAAUACCGGAUAGGAAUCCUUGCUGCAUGGUGGGGGUUGGAAAGCUUCGGGGGUUUUGGAUGGACUCGCGGCUUAUCAGCUUGUUGGUGGGGUAGUGGCUUACCAAGGCUUUGACGGGUAGCCGGCCUGGGAGGGCGACCGGCCACAUUGGGACUGAGAUACGGCCCAGAAUCCUACGGGAGGCAGCAGUGGGGAAUAUUGCACAAUGGGCGGAAGCCUGAUGCAGCAACGCCGCGUGCGGGAUGACGGCCUUCGGGUUGUAAACCGCUUUCAGCAGGGGCGAAGCUUGUGGUGACGGUACCUGCAGAAGAAGCACCGGCUAACUACGUG